UGGUUAAAAAGCUCGUAGUUGGAUCUCAACAGCCUUGAAGCGGUUAACUUUGUAGUUUUACUGCUUUAUAGGCUGUGCUUUUGCUGGAGGUUUAGGGGUGCUCUUGAUCGAGUGUCUCUGGAUGCCAGCAGGUUUACUUUGAAAAAAUUAGAGUGCUCAAAGCAGGCUAAAAUGCCUGAAUAUUCGUGCAUGGAAUAAUAGAAUAGGAUGUCGAUCCUAUUUUGCUGGUUUUCGGGACUCGACAUAAUGAUAAAUAGGGACAGUUGGGGGCAUUUGUAUUCAAACGACAGAGGUGAAAUUCUUGGACCGUUUGAAGACAAACUACUGCGAAAGCAUUUGCCAAGAAUGUUUUCAUUAAUCAAGAACGAAAGUUAGAGGUUCGAAGGCGAUUAGAUACCGCCCUAGUUCUAACCAUAAACGAUGCCAGCUAGCGAUCUGCCUGCGUUUUUACUGUAGACUGGGCAGGAAGCUUCCGGGAAACCAAAGCAUUUGGGUUCCAGGGGAAGUAUGGUUGCAAAGCUGAAACUUAAAGGAAUUGACGGAAGGGCACCACCAGGAGUGGAGCCUGUGGCUUAAUU
RNAcentral lists this ribosomal RNA (578 nucleotides) under uncultured marine eukaryote. Its description in RNAcentral is "SSU rRNA". It matches the Rfam family "Eukaryotic small subunit ribosomal RNA", at positions 616 to 1195 of the family's 1831-position model. The record is from RNAcentral.